This 483-nucleotide ribosomal RNA is filed under the name uncultured bacterium. RNAcentral's name for it is "partial 16S ribosomal RNA". It matches the Rfam family "Bacterial small subunit ribosomal RNA", at positions 30 to 506 of the family's 1533-position model. The record is from RNAcentral.
AUUGAACGCUGGCGGCAGGCCUAACACAUGCAAGUCGAGCGGAUGAAGGGAGCUUGCUCCUGGAUUCAGCGGCGGACGGGUGAGUAAUGCCUAGGAAUCUGCCUGGUAGUGGGGGAUAACGUCCGGAAACGGGCGCUAAUACCGCAUACGUCCUGAGGGAGAAAGUGGGGGAUCUUCGGACCUCACGCUAUCAGAUGAGCCUAGGUCGGAUUAACUAGUUGGUGGGGUAAAGGCCUACCAAGGCGACGAUCCGUAACUGGUCUGAGAGGAUGAUCAGUCACACUGGAACUGAGACACGGUCCAGACUCCUACGGGAGGCAGCAGUGGGGAAUAUUGGACAAUGGGCGAAAGCCUGAUCCAGCCAUGCCGCGUGUGUGAAGAAGGUCUUCGGAUUGUAAAGCACUUUAAGUUGGGAGGAAGGGCAGUAAGUUAAUACCUUGCUGUUUUGACGUUACCAACAGAAUAAGCACCGGCUAACUUCGU